UCCCAGACUCCUACGGGAGGCAGCAGUGGGGGAUAUUGCACAAUGGGGGAAACCCUGAUGCAGCGACGCCGCGUGAGUGAAGAAGUAAUUCGUUACGUAAAGCUCUAUCAGCAGGGAAGAAAAUGACGGUACCUGACUAAGAAGCCCCGGCUAACUACGUGCCAGCAGCCGCGGUAAUACGUAGGGGGCAAGCGUUAUCCGGAAUUACUGGGUGUAAAGGGAGCGCAGACGGCAGUGCAAGUCUGGAGUGAAAGGCGGGGGCUCAACCCCCGGACUGCUCUGGAAACUGUGCGGCUGGAGUGCAGGAGAGGUAAGUGGAAUUCCUAGUGUAGCGGUGAAAUGCGUAGAUAUUAGGAGGAACACCAGUGGCGAAGGCGGCCUGCUGGACGACAACUGACGGUGAGGCGCGAAAGCGUGGGGAGCAAACAGGAUUAGAUACCCCCGUAAC
RNAcentral lists this ribosomal RNA (448 nucleotides) under uncultured bacterium. RNAcentral describes it as "bacterial SSU rRNA". It matches the Rfam family "Bacterial small subunit ribosomal RNA", at positions 329 to 794 of the family's 1533-position model. The record is from RNAcentral.